This 187-nucleotide ribosomal RNA is filed under the name Loigolactobacillus backii. RNAcentral's name for it is "Lactobacillus backii partial 23S ribosomal RNA". It matches the Rfam family "Bacterial large subunit ribosomal RNA", at positions 1 to 186 of the family's 2925-position model. The record is from RNAcentral. Lineage: Bacteria; Bacillati; Bacillota; Bacilli; Lactobacillales; Lactobacillaceae.
AGGUUAAGUUAACAAGGGCGCACGGUGGAUGCCUUGGCACUAGGAGCCGAUGAAGGACGGUACUAACACCGAUAUGCUUCGGGGAGCUGUACGUAAGCUUUGAUCCGGAGAUUUCCGAAUGGGGGAACCCAGCCAGCUUAGUCGCUGGUUACUAAGUUGUGAAUACAUAGCAGCUUAGAGGUAAACG